This 440-nucleotide ribosomal RNA is filed under the name uncultured bacterium. RNAcentral's name for it is "partial 16S ribosomal RNA". It matches the Rfam family "Bacterial small subunit ribosomal RNA", at positions 338 to 795 of the family's 1533-position model. The record is from RNAcentral.
CCUACGGGAGGCAGCAGUGGGGAAUAUUGCACAAUGGGGGAAACCCUGAUGCAGCGACGCAGCGUGAGUGAAGAAGUAAUUCGUUAUGUAAAGCUCUAUCAGCAGGGAAGAAAAUGACGGUACCUGAGUAAGCAGCCCCGGCUAACUCCGUGCCAGCAGCCGCGGUAAUACGUAGGGGGCAAGCGUUAUCCGGAUUUACUGGGUGUAAAGGGAGCGUAGAAGGCAGUGCAAGUCUGGAGUGAAAGUCGGGGGCUCAACCCUCGGAUUGCUCUGGAAACUGUACGGCUGGAGUGCAGGAGAGGUAAGUGGAAUUCCUAGUGUAGCGGUGAAAUGCGUAGAUAUUAGGAGGAACACCAGUGGCGAAGGCGGCUUACUAGACUGUAACUGACGUUGAGGCUCGAAAGCGUGGGGAGCAAACAGGAUUAGAUACCCGUGUAGUC